GCAUCGAUAGCUCAGUGGCAGAGCGGUGGGGCGUUUACCCAUGCGGCCCGGGUUCGAUUCCCGGUCAUUGUA
Non-coding RNA from Phthorimaea operculella (potato tuberworm), 72 nucleotides. The record is from the annotation of a GenBank genome assembly. Lineage: Eukaryota; Metazoa; Arthropoda; Insecta; Lepidoptera; Gelechiidae.